UGUUAUGCCAGAGUGUAGGAUCAGUCCUC
RNAcentral lists this non-coding RNA (29 nucleotides) under Mus musculus (house mouse). The record is from RNAcentral. Lineage: Eukaryota; Metazoa; Chordata; Mammalia; Rodentia; Muridae.